UACAGGGGGUGCAAACGGUGCUCGGAAUUAUUGGGCGUAAAGCGCGCGUAGGCGGCCACUUAAGUCGGAUGUGAAAGCCCCUGGCUCAACUGGGGAAGUGCACCCGAAACUGAAUGGCUUGAGUGCGAAAGAGGGUCGCGGAAUUCCCGGUGUAGAGGUGAAAUUCGUAGAUAUCGGGAGGAACACCUGAGGCGAAGGCGGGCUACUGGGCCGAUACUGACGCUGAUGCGCGAAAGCCAGGGGAGCGAACGGG
RNAcentral lists this ribosomal RNA (253 nucleotides) under uncultured bacterium. RNAcentral describes it as "partial 16S ribosomal RNA". It matches the Rfam family "Bacterial small subunit ribosomal RNA", at positions 524 to 776 of the family's 1533-position model. The record is from RNAcentral.